This 347-nucleotide long non-coding RNA is filed under the name Mytilus galloprovincialis (Mediterranean mussel). The record is from RNAcentral. Lineage: Eukaryota; Metazoa; Mollusca; Bivalvia; Mytilida; Mytilidae.
UGUUGUAGUUGUGUGUUGUUAUCCCCUAGUCCCGUUAUAAUCUGUUUCAACUCCUUAAGUUCGUUUGUGUCAUUCGUUCUUCCAUUCACUUGCUGUGUAUAUUCUAUCGAAAGUAGUUUUUGUUAUAUUUGUGAUGUUAGUAGAGCUAGGGUUUUAUCUGAGUCUGAUUUCAUCUUUUCAACCUGGUGUCGAAGAACAUUAUGCUCAUACAGCUGUUCAUUUUUCGCUUUGUAAAACUCGGCAAUUGUCAUAUAUUGUUUAUUCCCAGUAAGAUUAACGGCACUUUGUGUAUUGCUUUCAAAAAGGAAUUCAUCACUUAAACUAAGACACAGAUAGACAGAUAGCAG